RNAcentral lists this transfer RNA (74 nucleotides) under Staphylococcus aureus. Its description in RNAcentral is "tRNA-Pro". It matches the Rfam family "tRNA". Rfam says of the family: Transfer RNA (tRNA) molecules are approximately 80 nucleotides in length. Their secondary structure includes four short double-helical elements and three loops (D, anti-codon, and T loops). Further hydrogen bonds mediate the characteristic L-shaped molecular structure. tRNAs have two regions of fundamental functional importance: the anti-codon, which is responsible for specific mRNA codon recognition, and the 3' end, to which the tRNAs corresponding amino acid is attached (by aminoacyl-tRNA synthetases). tRNAs cope with the degeneracy of the genetic code in two manners: having more than one tRNA (with a specific anti-codon) for a particular amino acid; and 'wobble' base-pairing, i.e. permitting non-standard base-pairing at the 3rd anti-codon position. Lineage: Bacteria; Bacillati; Bacillota; Bacilli; Caryophanales; Staphylococcaceae. The record is from RNAcentral. RNAcentral also lists the same sequence under 3 other names.
CGGGAAGUAGCUCAGCUUGGUAGAGCACUUGGUUUGGGACCAAGGAGUCGCAGGUUCGAAUCCUGUCUUCCCGA